This 435-nucleotide ribosomal RNA is filed under the name Triticum aestivum (bread wheat). Its description in RNAcentral is "partial small subunit ribosomal RNA". Lineage: Eukaryota; Viridiplantae; Streptophyta; Magnoliopsida; Poales; Poaceae. The record is from RNAcentral.
AUGAAGGCGUGGGAGCGCGACACAGCCGAGGCGGAUGCGCUGCGGGCGGAGCUACCCAAGUCCAAGGUUGUGCUCGCCGAUACCAAGGCGGAUGCGGGGAUUGUGGCGGCGGCAGCGCGUGGGCUCCGGGAGGAGUUGGACAGGAAGAAGAAGCAGCGGGAGCGCGACGCCACCGAGUCGAACGCGCUUCGGGCGAAGCUGGACAAGGCAAAGGCCGAGCUCGCAGCGACCAAGGCGAACGCGGAGAGAGCGGUGACGCGGUGGUUCUGGGGGUCCAGCAGGGAGCACGCGUGCGCUGGCAGAGCGGGAGCUGCGAGGGUACGAGUGCGGCUUGGAGAACAUGAGGCGCGCCAUGCUUUAUCGCUACCCGUACUUGGACCCGUCGCUGCUCUUCGUGCCGGUCAACGGCCCCCCGUAGCGCCGGCAACCGCCUAA